AGAGUUUGAUCAUGGCUCAGAGCGAACGCUGGCGGCAUGCUUAACACAUGCAAGUCGCACGGGCAGGGUAACCUGUCAGUGGCGGACGGGUGAGUAACGCGUAGGAAUCUAUCUCUGGGUGGGGGACAACCGUGGGAAACUACGGCUAAUACCGCAUGAUACCUGAGGGUCAAAGGCGAAAGUCGCCUGGAGAGGAGCCUGCGUCCGAUUAGCUAGUUGGUGGGGUAAAGGCCUACCAAGGCUCCGAUCGGUAGCUGGUCUGAGAGGAUGAUCAGCCACACUGGGACUGAGACACGGCCCAGACUCCUACGGGAGGCAGCAGUGGGGAAUAUUGGACAAUGGGCGAAAGCCUGAUCCAGCAAUGCCGCGUGGGUGAAGAAGGUCUUCGGAUUGUAAAGCCCUUUCGACGGGGACGAUGAUGACGGUACCCGUAGAAGAAGCCCCGGCUAACUUCGUGCCAGCAGCCGCGGUAAUACGAAGGGGGCUAGCGUUGCUCGGAAUGACUGGGCGUAAAGGGCGCGUAGGCGGUUCGUACAGUUGGAUGUGAAAUUCCUGGGCUCAACCUGGGGGCUGCAUUCAAUACGUACGAGCUUGAGUUCGGAAGAGGGUCGUGGAAUUCCCAGUGUAGAGGUGAAAUUCGUAGAUAUUGGGAAGAACACCGGUGGCGAAGGCGGCGACCUGGUCCGAUACUGACGCUGAGGCGCGAAAGCGUGGGGAGCAAACAGGAUUAGAUACCCCGGUAGUCC
This 746-nucleotide ribosomal RNA is filed under the name uncultured bacterium. RNAcentral describes it as "bacterial SSU rRNA". It matches the Rfam family "Bacterial small subunit ribosomal RNA", at positions 8 to 796 of the family's 1533-position model. The record is from RNAcentral.